This is a non-coding RNA of Blautia sp. CAG:52, 350 nucleotides long. The record is from Rfam. Lineage: Bacteria; Bacillati; Bacillota; Clostridia; Lachnospirales; Lachnospiraceae.
GGGCUUGUACUGGUUUCGACGGGGGUUUUGAAGUUUGGGAAGCCAUUCGCAGCUCUGGGACUGCGUCACCAACCUGGAAAUUAAAUUUAAACGCAGACGAAAAUUUAGCGUACGCUGCCUAAUGGCAGCUGUCGGUUUCUGAGUCUCCCGCAGCUUAGAUCCCGGCAUCAAACUUAGCGGGGCACUUUUUCUUCAAAGCUUUGAGAAGAAAAAAGAAUUUAUGAAGCUACUGAGGUCUGAAGCCUGUCAUCCGGCGUCGGGUUAAGGGAAUGUCAAAAGAAUGACUGUAAUGGGAGAUGCCUGAAUGGAUAGGCUUUCGGACAGGGGUUCGAUUCCCCUCAGGUCCAUAU